This 208-nucleotide ribosomal RNA is filed under the name uncultured Syntrophus sp. Its description in RNAcentral is "partial 16S ribosomal RNA". It matches the Rfam family "Bacterial small subunit ribosomal RNA", at positions 568 to 775 of the family's 1533-position model. Lineage: Bacteria; Pseudomonadati; Thermodesulfobacteriota; Syntrophia; Syntrophales; Syntrophaceae. The record is from RNAcentral.
CGUGUAGGCGGCUGAGCAAGUCAGAUGUGAAAUCCCUGGGCUUAACCCAGGAAGUGCAUUUGAAACUGCUUAGCUUGAGUAAGGAAGAGGGAAGUGGAAUUCCUGGUGUAGAGGUGAAAUUCGUAGAUAUCAGGAGGAACACCGGUGGCGAAGGCGACUUCCUGGUCCUAUACUGACGCUGAGACGCGAGAGCGUGGGGAGCAAACAG